UUCAAAUAUACUAAUUACUAAAAGUGUUUUUGUCAACAAAUUUCUCUGCUCAUGCAUUUAAUCAAUUUAGAUAUUGAAUUUUAAUAUUACUAAGGUGACAAGGACAAAAGAAAUACAUGUCUUUCUAUUCAAAGAUUUAUUUGUUAGAUUUAGUUUUUUUUUCUUUGGAUAUCUAUACUAUUAAAAGAGUUAUUUGUUAGAAUGGUCAUAUUGUCUACCAUAAGUAGGUAAAUACUAAAUAUUUGCCUUCAUUUCCAGAUACUAUAAAGUAUCUCAAUGCAAGCAGUUCAUACGAUCACAUAUUUAUUUAAUCUAGUAAGUAACAAAAGGACACAAAAACCAAAAUAUGAAAGGUUUACUUGGAGUUGUAGUGUUUCUGUUAUUAUUUAUUACGCUAUCUUGAGCGAGCCGCGAAAGUUUAACAAGUAUUGGAUCCAAGAGAAAAGUUUCAAGAGGUCCAAACAAUAUAACAUCUCCACCUACACCAGUAAUCCCACCAGCGUUUACAAAAGAUAUUGAAAUAAAGAGAUGGGUUAUCACACCACCGCCUACUCCACCAGCUUUUGUAGCAAAUUUUGAAAUGAAAAGAAAAGUUCCAAGAGGUCCAGACAAUCAGACAUCACCACCUACCCCAGUAACUCCACCAGCUUUUUAAUGGAUAUAGAUUUUAAAAGUUCAAUAAAUUUAUAAUCACACACUUUCCAUUAUAAACUAAUGUUUGUUUAGUUAUGAUUGUUUCAAAAAAAUUAAUAAAUAAUAAUAUUUUUUUCUUCUAUACAACUGUAUGAUUCAUUUUAAAAUCUAUAAACAUUAAUUCUGAAUGUGAAAUAUAUAUUUUUGAAAAAAAAAUCCUAAUAUCAUUUUUUUUAGAAAGAAUCCUAAUAACAUUUGAUUAAUUUCUUACUUGACUUCCUGUAAAAAUCAUAAUAUUAAAAACGUUGCAGUACACACCACUAAAAACAUGUUUUCAGUGCCAAAAAAGACAAUCACGUGAAAAAACACAUCUCCUCGUUCAUGAUCCCUCAUUUAUUUUUUUAUUUAUUUUUUUGAAUUAUACAGGGGUGUCCUUGCCCCCACAGAAGUGGUCCAGACUAGUCACAUGUUACCACGUCUCGGUUGCCGGGACUCGAAACGUGGUGGCUUCACCGUAUUGGGUUUUUUACCCUCAUGAUUCAUCAUUUCUCCUGGAGUUUCAUAAUAAAUGUUUGGCAGUUAUUGAGGAAUGGUUAAAUAUAGUCUACUUUGUGCCUUUGGUUUUCUCUUGUGAUCAAAGUUUCAACAAAUACAUUCAUCUGUUUUUGUUACUCAUGGUAGACAAAUUACAAAAAAUUGCAAGAAAUUACGUUGAGUAUCAAUGAUGAAGACAUUACUUUACCCGACGAUUUAUGCGAAGAUGCAUCAGAGGAGAACAGCUAGGAGUGUCAAAACAGAUAAAAACUAAUGGGUCAAUCAAGACCAAUCCAAACCAUGAAUUUUAAUGAAUCGAAAAAUUGGGUACAAAUGGAUUAAUGGAUAAAUAAGUUAAUGGACUUAAAUGGUUUGGAUUGUAAUGGAUAAUGAGUUAUUCAUAACCAAAUCAAUAAAAAUAUAUAACAAACUUAAAUUCAAAUCAAAUAUAUAAAGAAAAAAAGUAACCAAACCAGAUUUCUAAACCAGUUUUACUACACCAAAUUUUAUUUACUUUCACAUAUGCAACAAAAUUACGAUAGACUAAAUCUCACUCAUUUACUCAUAAUUUUUUUAUGUUAACACCCAAUUUCUCAUAUAUAUAUAUGUGGGGGUUUUAAAAGUUAAUCAUAUUGUUUUGCCAAAACCAUAAAAUCAAUUUUUUGACAAAACUAAAAAUUGAUUUUUUCCAUCAAAAGCGCUAAAAACGAUUGCCUUUGGGUUCCGAACUCCAUAUGGGGAAGGGGUGAUACCCCUUGAAAGACAUAACUAACUUACAAGACUGACUCCCGUAUAUCACUGGCAGUCCCUCGUGUGUGCAUCAGACACUUUUUUGUUUGUUUCGGAGUGGUUUUUUGUCAAAAUCGUAAAAUUGUGUUUUUCACUAAAUCUGCAAAUUCAUGUAUUCCUGCAAAAAAACUGCAAAAUCAUGUUUUUACGCCAAAAUCGCAAAAUUGAGUUUUUCUACCAAAACCACAAAUUGAGCUUUCCCUCCAAACUGCAAAAUCGUGUUUUUCUGCCAUGACCAUAAAAUCGAUUUUCCCACCUAAAAUGUAAAUUGAGUUUUCUCGCCAAAAACCGCAAAUUUGUGUUUGCCAACCAAAACCGUAAAAUUGAGUUUUUCCGCAAAAUGUAAAAUUAAACUUUCCCUCUAAAACCACAAAAUCUUGUUUUCCAUCCAAAACAAUAAAAUAAAGCUUUCCGCCUUUUGAAAAAAGAACAAGCUUUCCUCCCAAAACCGCAAAUUAAGUUUUUCCGCCAAUAUCGCAAAUUUAGUUUUUCUUUCAAACCCCUAAAAUUUAGGUUUCCGGCCAAAACAGUUAAAUCGUGUUUUCUUGCUAAAAUUGUAAAAAAAAAAUUUCCGCCAAAUCUGUAAAAUUGAGUUUCCCACCAAAACAGAAAAAUCUUGUUUCUGUAAAAUUGAUUUUUUCUGCCAAAACUGCAAUAUUGUAUUUUUCCGCCACACCGUAAAAAUCUUAUUUUCCAGCCAAAACAGCAAAAUUGAGUUUUCCCGCCAUAACCGUAAAUCGUGUUUUCCAUCCAAAACCGUAAAUUGUUUUUCCCCAAAAACUGUAAAAUUGAGAUUUCUGUCAAAACCACAAAAUUGUGUUUUCUUCUAAAACCGUAAAAUUGAGUUUUCUCACCAAGAUCGCUUAAAUUUUGUUAAAUAUAUUUUCUUACUAAAAUCACAUAUUUUUUUCCUAAAAAUAAGAAAAUCGUAUUUUCCACCAAAACCAUAUAUUUGUAUUUAUUUUCAACCCUAAAUAUAAUACUUUUUACUUAAUAACGUUUAAACUAUAAAAUUAUUGUUCAUCGAUUAACCAUUUAAACAAUUAACUCAUUAACUUAAAUGAGUUGUAGAUUGAUCCAAUCCAUUUGUCAAAUGUAUUGGUUUAAUACAUGGCCCAUAUAAGUUAAAAAACCAUUUCGGUAUUUUGGUUUGGUUUACCCAUUUUGGAGGCAAAUUAAUCUCAUGACUAUAUUUGGGCACAACCCAACUAGCGGUUAUGUACAUAGUCAGAGGCUCUAAAUUAUGAGAAAUUUAUUUUAUCAAAGUUUUAAGUAAAAUUUUAUGGCCCCAAUAUUUCAGAUCUGGUUCUGAUUAAAUAUUACGAAAUCUCCAAAUUUGGCAUCCACUUCUAAUUCAGUAGUUCUAUAUUCCUUAAUGUUAUGUAGAACCGCUGGUCUACGUCAAUUAUUGGACUCAUCUGGCGGAGCAGAGCAAGUUGCUCCAUCAGAUAAUCCCUUGGAUUUUAGUCUUCCCCAAGAUCCACCAGCCAGCACAACAGACACAAAGUCAAGAUCAGAUGUAAAGCUAAGCCAACUCGCCUCGAACAUCGAUUCAGAUUCCAGCAUUCAGAAAACAGAAACUCGGUUGCCUGAUCUUCUAGACAGCACGCUCUGUGACCGCAAGCUUGCCCCUUCCUCUAAGAGAAUUGUCUACGCAUUGGUCCGAGAGAAGGCUUACGAGAAUACUUUCUUGCCUCUGCUGAGUUGAAGGAAGGUUGAUUGUGUGGACCGGAGUGUGAGCCUAUAAAGACCAUCGGUGCUAGGAUGUAUGAACUUGGAUUUAAGCUCCAAGAGUUUAAAAAUCAAAUACACUCUCUUGGCUCCAACAAACGUGUGGGUGGAUAGAUUGCUGUGAAUGGGUUACUGUGGAUGAGUUGGCUUGCAGAUGGAUGGCUGUAGAUGGGUUUGUUUGGAUAGUUCAACUGUUUUCUUCUGAUGCCUAUUAUGGAUAAGUUACCUGCUCUUCUCCGGGAAGAGUUGGAGAAUGCAUUUGAAGAUGAUCUCGAUAGCAUUUUCGACAUCACGAACUCCGGCAAUCACUUGAUCAAAAGAAACGGAGAAAUGAGACUGAACUGAGAAGGAGGAUCAAAGAGAAAUUCAGAGUGAUGAAUGAGAAGCUGAACUCUCGCGAGUUUGCUCAGAAUCUAAACCCGCCUUCGUUGCAGUAGUGACUCAGGUCAUCACGAUAUCUCUCUUUCCAAUAUAUGUAUUUUAUUAGUUGUAGGUUAAGAAACAAUCUAAGAGUGUACUUCAUGAGGGAACAUAUCUGCCUUUCAACUUUGGAUGUCCCAAAGAAAAAAAAAAGUAUCUUUACAGUUUGAGAAAAAUAACAAUUAGUCGUUUAAUAAUAUGUAUUCAAAAUU
This is a long non-coding RNA of Brassica napus (rape), 4319 nucleotides long. RefSeq lists it as uncharacterized. The transcript is spliced from 5 exons. The record is from RefSeq and is a predicted model, not a curated record. Lineage: Eukaryota; Viridiplantae; Streptophyta; Magnoliopsida; Brassicales; Brassicaceae.